GACAGGGGGCUGCUAGUACAAGCGGAAACAGAAGUGAAGACACAAGAAGAAGAGCUCCCCUUCUGCACUGUGCUGAGCUCUCCGUACGUAUACGCAUAAUGAAGUCUUUGAGUACUCAUAGCAUCACUGUGAGAGGCAGUUUUUCUAUUAUAAUUGAAAAAUGGACUUUCUGAAGACUCGUUCUCCUCAGCACUAGGGUGUUUUCCAAUGAGUCA
This is a non-coding RNA of Odocoileus virginianus texanus, 215 nucleotides long. NCBI's taxonomy places the organism in Eukaryota, Metazoa, Chordata, Mammalia, Artiodactyla, Cervidae. The record is from RefSeq and is a predicted model, not a curated record.